RNAcentral lists this long non-coding RNA (215 nucleotides) under Lathyrus oleraceus (garden pea). RNAcentral describes it as "Pisum sativum (pea) long non-coding RNA (PSAT_LNC013406)". The record is from RNAcentral. Lineage: Eukaryota; Viridiplantae; Streptophyta; Magnoliopsida; Fabales; Fabaceae.
AAACCUUCUCCAAAAUGGAUGAAAUUUGACUCUUUGAAAAGGUUAGAUCAAUAGGAACAACUCUUAUGUUGAACAUGUUUCCAUUUGAAGCUCGUAUCAUGAUGAAUUUUGAGGUGGAAGUUUGGAAAUUUAAACAUAUCAAAAAAGUUUCUAAGUGUCAAGUCAUAUGUUACUUAUUCGAUGGUAUUGGUCCAAAAUGACCUAUAAUGUAUCCU